GACGAACGCUGGCGGCGUGCUUAACACAUGCAAGUCGAACGGAAAGGCCCUGCUUUUGUGUGGUGCUCGAGUGGCGAACGGGUGUGUAACACGUGAGUAACCUGCCCUUGACUUUGGGAUAACUUCAGGAAACUGGGGCUAAUACCGGAUAGGAGCUCCUGCUGCAUGGUGGGGGUUGGAAAGUUUCGGCGGUUGGGGAUGGACUCGCGGCUUAUCAGCUUGUUGGUGGGGUGGUUGCUUACCAAGGCUUUGGCGGGUGGCCGGCCUGAGAGGGUGACCGGCCUCAUUGGGCCUGCGAUACGGCGCAGUCUCCUACGGUGGGCAGCAGUGGGGAAUAUUGCACAGUGGGCGGAAGCCUGAUGCGGCAACGCCGCGUGCGGGAUGACGGCCUUCGGGUUGUAAACCGCUUUCGCCUGUGACGAAGCGGGAGUGACGGUAAUGGGUAAAGAAGCACCGGCUAACUACGUG
This 468-nucleotide ribosomal RNA is filed under the name uncultured bacterium. RNAcentral describes it as "partial 16S ribosomal RNA". It matches the Rfam family "Bacterial small subunit ribosomal RNA", at positions 28 to 507 of the family's 1533-position model. The record is from RNAcentral.